This 467-nucleotide ribosomal RNA is filed under the name uncultured bacterium. RNAcentral's name for it is "bacterial SSU rRNA". It matches the Rfam family "Bacterial small subunit ribosomal RNA", at positions 30 to 513 of the family's 1533-position model. The record is from RNAcentral.
CGAACGCUGGCGGCGUGCUUUAUACAUGCAAGUCGAACGAUGAAAUUCCUUCGGGAAUGGAUUAGUGGCGAACGGGUGAGGAACACGUGAGAAACCUGCCUUUCAUUCUGGGAUAACACCGGGAAACCGGUGCUAAUACCGGAUACUCCGUCUUGGCGGCAUCGCCGAGCCGGGAAAAAUUUUGAUGAAAGAUGGUCUCGCGGCCUAUCAGCUAGUUGGUGAGGUAAUGGCUCACCAAGGCGACGACGGGUAGCCGGCCUGAGAGGGCGACCGGCCACACUGGGACUGAGACACGGCCCAGACUCCUACGGGAGGCAGCAGUAGGGAAUAUUGGGCAAUGGGCGCAAGCCUGACCCAGCGACGCCGCGUGAGGGAUGAAGGUCUUCGGAUUGUAAACCUCUUUCAGUAGGGAAGAAGCGAAAGUGACGGUACCUAAAGAAGAAGCACCGGCUAACUAUGCGCCAGCA